AUAAUCGAGAGGGCGGAGCAAAAUCUGCCCUCCUACGCGGUCAAAGUCUUGGGAGGAUGCGAUCUAGGCGCGAUGACUCGCUGCCGCCGGACAACGGAACACGGAUCGGACGCGUUUAUUGCAAGGCCUAGUGCCUUGCAUUUUUUU
RNAcentral lists this small RNA (147 nucleotides) under Mesorhizobium sp. Root157. RNAcentral describes it as "Alphaproteobacterial sRNA ar9". It matches the Rfam family "Alphaproteobacterial sRNA ar9". Lineage: Bacteria; Pseudomonadati; Pseudomonadota; Alphaproteobacteria; Hyphomicrobiales; Phyllobacteriaceae. The record is from Rfam by way of RNAcentral.